AGUUUUUCCUUCUGUAUCCGGUAAGUGGCGUUCGUGCGAGAUGAGGUGCUGUGCUCGCAUGAACGUGAGUGGUCGGUGUGGGUUAUUGAACCGACCACGCUGCCUCUGGGGUCACACUCUGACAUGGCGUCCUCAUGGAGUGAGAGAGUGUUACCGCGUUGGAGCGCAAGGUGAGUGUGGGAGUGAGGUCCUGAUAAAGAUAUCUACACAGAUGUAUUCUGCAUAUAUUCAUAGUUG
Molecule: non-coding RNA, 237 nt
Organism: Pelobates cultripes (western spadefoot toad)
Lineage: Eukaryota; Metazoa; Chordata; Amphibia; Anura; Pelobatidae
Source: the annotation of a GenBank genome assembly